CCAUUAAAAAAAUUAAAAACAAAUAAAUAAUGAAAUAAUGAAAUAAUAUUAUUAAUUAUAAUCUGCACGCCCCAACUCUACACUCAAGCUGAGCUGCGCCGAGUCUCUCUGCACAUCCAAUUGCCUCAUUGCAUCAUUGCAUCUCCACCAAUGCCAAUCCCCACUCUGAUUGAGGAGAACGAAGCUAACCCACACCCCCUCCGACACGUGGGCAGCAUGCCGUCUUCAUUUUGUCACCUACACUUUGACGAGUGCAAUGCGGACAAGCACUGUAUACGGAGAGACACACCCUGACAGCACUCUUUUCCCAUCUCUGUUCAGGCGCCAUCAAUCGGCCAGCAAAGGUUUUGGAAGCUUUUGGGGAAACAUAGGAUUUAGACUCCAUUCCGUCUUUCUGGGAACCAUAACAGAUACAAAGGGUACACACAUAUGCAUUCUCUCCUAAAUGAAAUGUGAGGGGUGUACUCACUUUUGUGAUACACUGUGUGUCAGAGUGAAAGUGGAAGUAAGGCAUCCUGCAUAAACACUGUGCCAAAUCAGGUGUUCAGACCAGAGUAAUCCUCUCUGAUAACCCCUAAAUAUGGAAGUAGGCGAAAAAAGAAGAUAAAAUCAUUAUUUUGCCUAUUUCUUAAUGACACUGUGACUCAGCAGGUAAACUGGGUGCUGCACAGCAGCUGGAUUUUUAAGGGCCUGAGUUCACCUACGGUCACUGUCUAUGAGGAGUUGAAUGUUGUUUUUCUGUGUUUGUGAUGGUUUCCUCUGUGUAUUUCAGUUACCUUCCACCUCACAAAAACAUGCAUAAGCAAACAAGUUGAAAUGGCCUCUUUAACUUGCUCCCAAAUGUAAGUGAGGGAUAAAUUGUGUAAGUGUAAUAAUCCUGUGAUGGAUUUCAUCCUCUGCACAAUGUGUUUCCACUUUCUAGCAUCUGCAGGAGGCACCUGAUUCAUAGAUUCACUAUUAAAAAGUUAAAUGAAUAAAUGCAUUUUGAAAACCA
Trichomycterus rosablanca is the source of this 994-nucleotide long non-coding RNA. RefSeq lists it as uncharacterized. NCBI's taxonomy places the organism in Eukaryota, Metazoa, Chordata, Actinopteri, Siluriformes, Trichomycteridae. The record is from RefSeq and is a predicted model, not a curated record. The transcript has 3 exons.